RNAcentral lists this ribosomal RNA (253 nucleotides) under uncultured bacterium. RNAcentral describes it as "partial 16S ribosomal RNA". It matches the Rfam family "Bacterial small subunit ribosomal RNA", at positions 524 to 776 of the family's 1533-position model. The record is from RNAcentral.
UACAGAGGGUGCAAACGUUGUUCGGAAUUACUGGGCGUAAAGCGCGUGCAGGCGGCCUUGCAAGUCGGACGUGAAAUCCCACGGCUCAACCGUGGAAGUGCAUUCGAAACUGCGAGGCUGGAGUCCUGGAGAGGAAAGUGGAAUACUCGGUGUAGAGGUGAAAUUCGUAGAUAUCGAGUGGAACACCGGUGGCGAAGGCGGCUUUCUGGACAAUUGCUGACGCUCAGGCACGAAAGCGUGGGGAGCAAAAGGG